CUAGAUCACUUUGGCCCAGAGAAGUUGGGGAUGACUCCAUCUUGGCCAAAGUGACUCCGGGUGCUGGGUCAGGUAGGUCUCUGACCCAGAAGGGUGUGCUCAUUGUGAGUCCUGCCUCCCAGGUCUGGUCCAGGAAAACAGAGUCCCUCCAGACAGGUAGUGCCUCUGGCUUUGACAGGCCCCAUCUAUGCCUGUCCCUUUGGGCCUGGAAGCAGCUCCCCACGAGUUCAGUUCUCUUAGACAGCAAGAUGCAUGGAUCAUUUCACCUCCAUGGAAAAGCCACUGUGCCAGUCAAAACAGUUCCAGGAUUAAUUUUAAACAAAAAGCCUGUUUACAUGAAUAAUCAUUACUGAACGUGCCUCAGUAAGAAAAGACUGCUUACUAUUGCUGCCUAUUGUUAAAAGCCAAUGCAUUAUGCAUUGUUUGAAUUAAAUCAAGAUCUCUAUAGCAGUGGAUGAAUCUA
Long non-coding RNA from Ornithorhynchus anatinus (platypus), 463 nucleotides. RefSeq lists it as uncharacterized. NCBI's taxonomy places the organism in Eukaryota, Metazoa, Chordata, Mammalia, Monotremata, Ornithorhynchidae. The transcript is spliced from 2 exons. The record is from RefSeq and is a predicted model, not a curated record.